RNAcentral lists this long non-coding RNA (330 nucleotides) under Olea europaea subsp. europaea. The record is from RNAcentral. Lineage: Eukaryota; Viridiplantae; Streptophyta; Magnoliopsida; Lamiales; Oleaceae.
CAACCCAAAGGUCACUUCUAUAUGAUACAUCGUAUCGAAUUCCUUAUAUAAAUUCAAGCAAAAGAAAAAAGAACAAAACAAAAGCUAAUGAAAACCUCUUCACCAUUUAGGUACAUAUCUAAAAGUCAUUAAUCUUCGUAAGUGUUACACAUCAUAAUAUGCAGUUGUAAUUGAUCAGAGAAAAAUCAAGCCAAACAAUCAAAGAUAACAAUUAACUGAGCAUGAAUUCAGCAAUUAAAGAAAACUCUAAACAAGUAACAUCUCAUGUUUUAUCACAGAAGACAAAUUAAAGUUAAUCAGAGUUUAGUUUCAAAGUCAGAUAGGCAGUAG